UGGGCUAUCCUUGGGCAGAACAUCUCUGGGGACUCAGAGGAUCCCAAGGUUAAAGGUCAAUAGGAAUGACCCUGACUGUCAGUUAUAGAGACACAGACCCAGCAGAGGGAGUGAGGCAGGCAAUCUGGCCCCCAGGAUGCUAAUUCAUAACCUUACAAUUUCAAACCGGGGCAAGCUUCUAUUUCUGUCCCUCAGCUCCAUUUUGCUGCAAGGAUGCCAUAGGGAGGAGUUCCCACUGGACAGUAUCUCCCACCCUUCCCCUUCCUUUGCUCCCCUUUCACUCACACAUAGAGCUAGGCCUGUAUACUACUGAUUUUGGAGGACCGUUUUCAAUGUCUAAUAAUCUGUUUGGGUGUGUCGUGGUCAGAAAAAAGAGAGAGAGAGCGAGAGAGAAAAGCUGAGUGUGAUGGAACAUGAACCUCAACAAAUACUGGCUGUUCUUGUAAGAUAGUUUAACCCUGUACAAAUGCAACUUUUCUUUUAGCUUAAUGGCCUGGGGUGGAACAUUCAAAUAUAUAAAUAUAUAUAUUAAAAUACAUUAAAAUUUCAGAAAAAUGUAAAAAAAAAUUGAGGUCCGUUCCAUAAAGUUUUACUGCCUAUACCACCAUGUAACUACGUUAUAGCAAAAUAUUAAAGAGAAACAUUCUUUUCUUUUAAAGUAAGUUAUUGCACUUACAUCUUUUGGAGAGGGGAGGAAGGUGGGAAGAAGCCCCCCCCCCAGGAGCUGAGGGGCUGAGGUGGGCGAAAGGCAAGGCAGAGGCACCUGACACUCCCCUUUUGUCGGGGACAGCCCAGACUGUCUGUUUGGUUGUUGUUGUUUGCAAUAAACUCCUUCCUCCUCUC
Molecule: long non-coding RNA, 843 nt
Filed under: Rattus norvegicus (Norway rat)
Lineage: Eukaryota; Metazoa; Chordata; Mammalia; Rodentia; Muridae
Description: long non-coding RNA NONRATT018381
Source: RNAcentral